UAAAGGUCCGUAUCCAGCUCUUAAGUAAUUGCACAAGAAAAUAAAAUCAUUAUUCCUUGAGCUGAAGUCAAGUAAUUUUGACAGCUGUUAACGCAAUGGGAAUGAUCCACAUUAGAAGAGCAAGUGAAAACAAACAAGAGAAAAUAAACAAAGGAAAUAAACACGUAAAUAUUUGUAUUGCCAUUUAAGGCAAAUGGAUGAAGAUUCGAUGAAUUUAAUGAAUACCUUGAAUUGUGGUGACAUGAUAGCUGCCGUGGAGAUGGAUGCUGAAUUCCAAAAAACAGAGCGUAAGAAUGCGAGAUAUUGCAAAUACUUUUUGUUAUCCAUAACACAUGGAACAAGGCAGCAUGCGAUAUUUGCCAUUGGUUAGAGCGAGAUAACCAUUGAACAUCAAAUAGCUAUGUGUUACUUUUUUCCCACUCUCUGAACAAAAGUAACAAAUAUUUUAACGAAUGCAAAAGUGAACAACAACAAUUCGCUUACACGUUUGCUAACAGCUACCCGUCUUGUAGGGUGGAGAAGUCAUACCUUAAGGAACGAAACGAAAAGGGAAGGUUCAUAUCCGACUUCGAAGCCUUGCGAAAUUCACCAGAUUUAUUCGUUAAAAACUUUAGCAUACCACCAAUAGUUAUUGAUGAACUUUAUGAGAUGAUGGAGCCGCAUCUACUUCCGAAACGCAACAGCAGGCCAAAAGAUUUUAUUCCAAUCAAAGCCAAAUUGGCAGUGGGGCUGGAGUAUGC
Long non-coding RNA from Bactrocera dorsalis (oriental fruit fly), 740 nucleotides. RefSeq lists it as uncharacterized. The transcript is spliced from 3 exons. The record is from RefSeq and is a predicted model, not a curated record. NCBI's taxonomy places the organism in Eukaryota, Metazoa, Arthropoda, Insecta, Diptera, Tephritidae.